RNAcentral lists this ribosomal RNA (476 nucleotides) under uncultured bacterium. Its description in RNAcentral is "bacterial SSU rRNA". It matches the Rfam family "Bacterial small subunit ribosomal RNA", at positions 29 to 507 of the family's 1533-position model. The record is from RNAcentral.
GCGAACGUUUGCGGCGGGCCUAACACAUGCAAGUCGAACGCACUAGCAAUAGUGAGUGGCGCACGGGUGCGUAACACGUGGGUAAUCAACCCUUCAGCCUGGGAUAACGACUCGAAAGGGUCGCUAAUACCGGAUACGGCGCGAGAGGCUUCGGCUUCUCACGAGAAAGCCACGCAAGGGGCACUGAAGGACGAGCCUGCGGCCCAUCAGCUAGUUGGUGAGGUAAGAGCUCACCAAGGCUAAGACGGGUAGCUGGUCUGAGAGGAUGAUCAGCCACACUGGAACUGAGACACGGUCCAGACUCCUACGGGAGGCAGCAGUGGGGAAUAUUGCGCAAUGGGCGAAAGCCUGACGCAGCCACGCCGCGUGAGCGAUGAAGGCCUUCGGGUCGUAAAGCUCUGUGGGGAGAGACGAAGAAAGCCUGUGAAGAGCAGGCCUUGACGGUAUCUCCUUAGCAAGCACCGGCUAACUCCGUG